RNAcentral lists this ribosomal RNA (372 nucleotides) under uncultured prokaryote. Its description in RNAcentral is "bacterial SSU rRNA". It matches the Rfam family "Bacterial small subunit ribosomal RNA", at positions 524 to 896 of the family's 1533-position model. The record is from RNAcentral.
UACGUAGGGGGCUAGCGUUGUUCGGAUUUACUGGGCGUAAAGAGCGCGUAGGUGGUUAUACAAGUUAGGGGUGAAAUCCCGGAGCUUAACUUCGGAACUGCUUCUAAAACUGUAUAGCUUGAGUGUGGUAGGGGGUAAUAGAAUUCCUAGUGUAGAGGUGAAAUUCUUAGAUAUUAGGAGGAAUACCGAUGGCGAAGGCGAUUACCUGGGCCACUACUGACACUGAGGCGCGAAAGCGUGGGGAGCAAACAGGAUUAGAUACCCUGGUAGUCCACGCAGUAAAUGGUGAGUGCUAGAUGUCGGGAAUUUUUAUUUUCGGCCUCGCAGCUAACGCAUUAAGCACUCCGCCUGGGGAGUACGGUCGCAAGAUUA